GUGACCUACGGGACGCAGCAGUGGGGAAUAUUGGGCAAUGGGCGCAAGCCUGACCCAGCAACGCCGCGUGAAGGAAGAAGGCUUUCGGGUUGUAAACUUCUUUUAUGAGGGACGAAAGAAAUGACGGUACCUCAUGAAUAAGCCACGGCUAACUACGUGCCAGCAGCCGCGGUAAUACGUAGGUGGCAAGCGUUAUCCGGAUUUACUGGGUGUAAAGGGCGUGUAGGCGGGACUGCAAGGCCGAUGUGAAAAUUAUGGGCCUAACCCAUAACCUGCAUUUGAAAC
RNAcentral lists this ribosomal RNA (285 nucleotides) under uncultured bacterium. Its description in RNAcentral is "partial 16S ribosomal RNA". It matches the Rfam family "Bacterial small subunit ribosomal RNA", at positions 334 to 633 of the family's 1533-position model. The record is from RNAcentral.